Molecule: ribosomal RNA, 2034 nt
Filed under: Triticum aestivum (bread wheat)
Lineage: Eukaryota; Viridiplantae; Streptophyta; Magnoliopsida; Poales; Poaceae
Description: partial small subunit ribosomal RNA
Source: RNAcentral
AUGGAUAUGUCCAGGUUGCAUUUUUUCUUCCUCCACCCCAUGUUUCAACUUAUAAUUUAUCAAAUUCCUUCCCAGUCUCCUUCAAACCUCUCCAAUCCCCUUGGGGAAGGGAUUAAACGAACAAGCCCUCAGGAAUUACAAUUGGUGGGGUUGUUUUCCCUGGCUCAACUCUUUCAAAUCACAAUCCUGACAAUUGAUAGCCAUGUUAACAACCAUCCUCAAGCAAAGCCAAGCAAAGAGCAUAUCACUGUGUGGGAAAAAGGAGCAAAAUUGGUUGAUGUUCUCCAUGGUGAUGAAGCGGCUGUCAUAAUUCAAACAUCUCGUGCUAACUUAGAGUGUAUGUACCCUAGAAAGCUGGUCCUUGUUGCAAUUGUUCAGGCACUGGUCCAGAGGCGUUUCAAAGAUGCAAUGGACAUGGUAAGACGCCAUCGAAUAUAUUUCAAUAUGUUCGUUGAUUAUUGUGGAUGGAAAGCUUUUAUCAAGUCAGCAUUAGAUUUUGUUCAAGAAGUCAAUAACCUUAGCCGCAUCACUGAAUUUGUUUGCUCAAUUAAGAAUGAGAAUGUCAGCAGCAAAUUGUAUGAGGCCUCAAUGGAUAGUGAGAAUCUGCAUGGCGCCUUGUCAGAGAACAAAGUAACAUCUGCACUGAUGUCAAUCAGAAAAGCCCUUGAGGAACAAAUAGAAGAAAGCUCAUCUCGAGAACUCUGCAUACUUACCACUUUGGCGUGUAGCGAACCUCCAUUGUUGGAAGAAACAUUGAAUAGAAUUAAAGUCAUUCGAGAACUGGAACUUCAUGGGGUUGAUGAUGGCCGACGGAAGCUUUACCCAUCUGCUGAAGAGUCUUUGAAGCACUUGCUUUGGCUAAGAGAACCAGAAACUGUUUUUAAUGCUGCUUUGGGAUUGUAUGAUCUGAGUCUUGCUGCUAUAGUUGCUUUAAAUUCCCAAAAAGAUCCAAAGGAGUUCCUUCCUUUUCUUAAGGGUCUUGAAUGCCUACCUCCUUCUUUUAUGAGGUACACAAUAGAUUUGAAACUUUCAAGAUAUGAGAGUGCUCUCAGAAACAUUGUGUCUCCUGGUAAUGAGUAUCAUGCGGACUGCAUGGAACUCCUUAAUUCUAACCCUCAGUUGUUCCUACUAGGCCUCCAGCAUGGGGCGACCCGUCUUUUUGAAGAGAAAUGCUUUGGAGAAGCUACAAUAACUUAUCAAUGCUGCUCAUCAUAUCAGAAAUCUUUGAAAGCUUAUCAUGCCUGUGGGGACUACAGACGUGUGUUCACUGUUACAGGCCUUCUGAACUUCACAAAGGAAGACAUUCUUCAACUAGCACAGGAGCUGUGUGACGAGUUCCAAGCACUCGGGAAGCCAGGAGAUGCCGCCAAAACCGAGCAUUGUUUAGAUGUUGAUAGAGGUGUAGGCUGCUACAUCAUGGCAAGAGAAUGGGAAGAGGCUCUUAGAGUGGCUUAUAUGCACAGCAGGCAGGAUCUUGUUGAUACUGUUAAAGAUGCAGCUCUGGAGUUUGCUGCAUUGUUGAUAUCCGAGUAUCAAGAAGGAUUGCUGAAGGUGGGUAAAUAUCUUGCACGCUACGUUGCUGUGCGGAAGAGGAGAUUAUCUCUCGCAGCUAAACUACAGUCAAAGGACGCUAAAAAGCUCCAGCUUGUUGUUGACGCUGUUGGACUUGGUAAGCUUGAUGAAGCCGAGGUCCAUAAGAAAAAUAUUAUGCCGUCAUCCUAUACCGGUGGGCGUCGCUGUAUAACUGAAAACUUCCACGCCGCGAUGACUAUUUCCCGUUUCCAAGCCUCGCCUGAUAUAAUCACAACUUUCACGUGUAAUCCAAAGUGGCUUGAAAUAAUGGAGAGUCCUGAACCUGGGCAAAAAAUAGUCAAUAGGGCUGAUAUUACCGUUCGAGUAUAUCACAUGAAACUGCUUGAGUACCUACAGAAGAUCAGGACCGGAAAGAUGUUUGGGACUGUAGUUCCUGGUACCAUGGCCUGUGCAUUUUCUCUCCUUUCUUUGUUUUUCUUACCCACGUUUCUCUUUGUAUAG